AAAGAAUUAGUUUAAUAAAAAAUUUUAAUUUGUCAAAUUAAUAAUACUAUUUAGUAUUCUUUU
RNAcentral lists this transfer RNA (63 nucleotides) under Meimuna opalifera. RNAcentral's name for it is "tRNA-Asp". The record is from RNAcentral. Lineage: Eukaryota; Metazoa; Arthropoda; Insecta; Hemiptera; Cicadidae.